GUUGAGUGAAGCCUGCUCUCUGGUGCCUCUGAAACAGAAAAGAGAAGUCUUUGCCUGCAUUUGAAGUUUUCCCACUGUCAGCCCUGAAGGAAGGGAUGUCACAGAUAACCGCUUGGUGGUUCUUCUUGCUCGGAGGAGCCGGGUUCCUGCGGUUACCUCUUCUGCCUCUGCUUCUACAACAUCAAGCUGUAUAGUUGCUUGAAGAGGAGAAGGAAGAAGAAAGAACAUGUGAGGAUAGCAAUUGCAAACAUGGUCUUCUGGAAAAAUGGUGUGAUGUGCUGCUAUACUGCCUUGGAAACUUUUCUUCCUUGGGAUUGAAAAUAAAAAGCAGACUUGCUUUCCUGCUGUUAGACUGCUUACUGCACAAAGUUGCCUCUUAGUGGCCAUAGUCUUGCCACGUUGAUGACCUCUUCUGGACGCUUCACUUUGCCCUGUGUGGUUUUCACUUUGGCCAUGAUGGAGUUAGGAAAAGGGACCUUCAACUAGGAGAGUUAAAUCAGUGUAAUGAAGCGAGUUUUACUUGUUCUCCAGAAAUGCAGCCAAAACUCGGUCACUCACAUACCAUCAAAAUGGAUGUCCCAUAUCUAGGAGCCUUUUCUGAAACAUUUUUAAAGGGAUUUUUUUAUGUUCAUAAGUUUUUAUGGGUUUUUUGUUGGUGGUGGUGGUGGUUUAUGUUUCGCCUGAAUGUAUGCAAGUGCACCAAAUGUGUAGUGCCUACAGAGGCCAGAAAAUGGUAUCAGACUCCAAUGUGUACUAGGAGCUGCUCUGCAAAGCAGCAAGUGCUCUUAACCACUGAACCAUCUCGCUAGUUCCAACUAGGAGCAUUCUUAAUUAUUUUCUUCUGUGAAAUCAAACUCAGCUCAGUAGACAUUGUAAAGGCAAAUUUAAAAUGCUACUAUAGGGCCAGUGAAACGGGCCACCAAGCCUGAGUUCAAUCCCCAGGAUGCACAUGGUUGAAAGAGAGAACCAGCUCCCACAAGUUGCCCUCUGACCUCCACAUGAACACGCACACACACAGACACACACAGACACACACACACACACACACACACACACACACACACACACACACACACACAAAUACAUUUCUAAAAGGUUUAUUUUAAUGUGGGUGUGUGGGUAUGUAUAUAUACACAUAAGUGCGGGGACCUAUAGAGGUCAGAGAGGGCAUCAUAUCCACUGGGGCUGCAGUUAUAGGCAGUUGAGAGCCUACCAACGUAAGUGUUGGAAACUGGCUCAUAAACCAUGGAACCAUCUUUCUAGUUCCACAGUGAAUAAGAGCUGGAAAGGGGGAUCAGUCUUCUUCCAAAGGACUUGGGUUCAAUUCCCAGAACCCACAUGGCAGCUCAUAACCAUCUCUGGUUCCAGGGGAUCUGAUGCCCUCUUCUGGUCUCUGCAGGUACCAGGCACACACACAGUGUACUGACCUAUAUGCAAGCAAAAUAUCCAUAUACAUAAAAUAUAUAAAUAUAAAAAUAUAAUAAAAUAAUAAAGUGAUACCAUAUGACUCCUAGGUAAGAUGGCCAACUAGGACCUGUUUCCAUGUGACUUGGUGAAGGAGGACAGCUGGAAUAUAAAACAGUUUGCUAUAUUCCAAAGACAGAGGAGCAUUUAAGAAAUCCACAAAAGACAGCCAAAAAGUGCACUGCAAAUGGCUGGUAAUGUACCAAAAAGGACUAAGCUGAGCUGAACACAGGCUCUGGAUGCCCACUGGGAGAGAGGGAGGGAAGCAAAAGUGUCAUUCAAAAGCUAACCUGGGCAAUCCUGCUGAAAGGAGAUGGGCACUCCUCCUCAAGACAGGCAUGCAGCCUCACAAGCAUAAAAACAUUAUAGGUUUUGUUGAGACAGGUUUCCUUUAUCAACAAGUGAGCAGUUGAGCGGAAUUCUAUUUUUCCCCACUCUGUCUGAUUCCAAGGGAAGUAGUGAGGAAUCAUUGUUUAAAAUUGAACUAUCCUGGGGCUCUGAGAAGAGCCUAAACUUAACCUCCACAUCCUCAAGAAUUUGAAGUAACCCUAGGAGGCAGUUGUGGAGAGCAGGAGUACAUGAUGUUGACAAACUGAAAAGCUGGGUAAUCUGGGCAGAGAGCUUGGCUCAGGCAGUGCAGUGCAUGGGGAAAGGUAGUCAAUCCCCAGUGGUAGCCCUGAACCCACAGUCAACAGGCAGAUAAAGUUCUGGACCUACAUAUCUGCCAUACUCAAUAUUUAAACCCAGCUUAAGAUAUAUGAGACCCUGUCUCAAAAGUAAAUAAGUAGACAAAUAAAAAUUUAAAAAUCACUAGCUGAUUGGUUAUAAACAAAUAAAAAAUUUCCAAAGAAUAAAUGAAGGAAAAAUUCCCAUUCACAAUUGCUUCAAAUGAAUGAACAAACAACAAAACCAACAAGUAAUAUCUAAGAGUUAAACCGAGUGAAAGAUUUCUACAGUAAAAGCCUUAAAACACUAAAGAAUGGAUUGAAGAAUUCACUUUCCACACUGUAAUAGGAUUCUCCAGGGCAGCAGUUCUCAACCUGUGGGUCAUGACACCAUCAGAUAUUCUGCAUAUCAGAUAUUCACAUUACAAUUCAUAACAGUAGUAAAAUUACAGUUAUGAAGGAGCAAUGAAAUAAUUUUAUGGUUGGGGAGGUUACCACAACAUGAGGAACUGUAUUAAAGGGUUGAGUAUUAGGAAGGUUGAGAACCACUGCUAUAGAAAAACAGAACUGAUAGAAUAAUACAGGGGUGAGGGUUUUAUCAGUGUCUCACAGGUUGUGGUCCAGCUAAUCCAGCACUGACUGUCCACCAACAGAAAGCCGAAGAAUCUGGUUGUUCUGUCCACAAGGCUGAAUGUCUCAGCUAGUCUUAAGUGUACACUGGAAUCCUGAAGACAUAGACUAAUGCCGGUGAAGAAAUGGACUUGCCAGCCAUAGUAAGAGAGAGUAGGUAAAGAGAGAGAAGGGGUGGGGAGGGGGAGGGAGUUUCCUCCUUGUGUCUUUUAUAUAGGCUACCACAAGAAGGUAUGGCCCAGAUUAAAGGUCGAUCUUCCCACCUCAAAAAAUUUAGAUUAAAAGAGGGUCUUCCUACUUCAAAUGAUUUAAUUAAGAAAAAACUUCUUACAGGAGCACCCAGCUCCUUGGGUUUUAGUUCAUUUCAGAGGUAGUUAAGUUGACAAUCAAGAAUAACCACACAGGUUUAUGAAUUUUUAGAAUUAAAAUUCUGAAAAUGCACCUAUUACCAAAAAUCAUCUAUAGAUUCAGCAAAAUUUCCAUCAAAAUUCUGAUAGCGUUCUUCACAGAGAGGGCAAAACCAUUCUGUAAUUCAUAUGGAAGCACAAAUAACCCCAAUUAGCAUAGCUGAGCAGGAAGAGAGAGCCAGCGUCAUCCCAAUGCCUGUCUCAAUCUUCACUACAGAGCCAUAGUGACAAAACCAGUGUAGCACUGGUACAAACACACACACACACACACACACACACACACACACACAUACACACACCAAUGGAGGAUCAGAAAUGCACGCACAUGACUAUAGCCACCUAACAUUUAACAACAGUGUCAAAAACAACCACCCAAAACUAGCAAGCCUCUUCAACAAAACUGGAUACCUACAUUCAAAACAAUGAAACUGAAUCUGUAGCUCUCCCCAUACACAGCAAAACGGUUCAAAGGUCAUGUAAGAUCCUGAAACUGCGGCAGGAAAAUGUGUGCAAAACAUUUCAAGCUAAUGGCAUAGAGAAGGUCUUCCUGAAUACAACUCUGAUAGUGUAUGAGAAUAAUACAAAAACUGACAAAUGAGUUUGCAUAACUUUAAAAGGUUUAAUUAAAAUUAAUGAGGAUGGAAUAGAAACUCACUUAGUACAAGGACAAAAACAUUAGUAAUACAAAGCAAGAGAGUACCAGCCACUUCACCCCAAGCUAAAACACAUGCUUCUAACUGAACUAUACGUGGUCAGGGUUUGAGUACCACUCUUGUCUGGCUGAAGACUAACAAGCAUGAGAGACUAUCAGCUCCUAGGCAAGAAGCAGAACAGGCUGAGAGCCACAAGUUGGCUUUCCAAAUCUGACAAUUAUUUAAGAAAUGUGUGGAGGUCAUCUUUCAAGAGAGAGAACAUUUAAAAGCUUCUCAUUUUGAUUUAUAUCUUUAUAAAAAACACACUGCACAUCUGAUUUGACAACACUGAGCAACAUUCCCAACUUUAGUGGUAAAAUCAUUAAGUAGCACUUUCUGUAGAUGACUGGCUGUGUACAGAUGUUCACUUAGCUUCGUCAAAUUUCUACGCUUGGUUCUUUUCUGUGCCCCUCAAUAUUCCAUUGCUCCUUAUUUCUGUUGACUAAGAAGUCAGUUAAGAAGGUGAGUACAUCCUUAGAUUAUGAAAUCUGUGGUACCACGUCUCCAUAUUUUUAAAAUGGGCAUGUGUUUUAAUUUAACAUGCUAAUUUUAUCCAGAGCAAAUUUAUUGAACACUUACUCCUUUGUGCUGUGCAUAUGUAAAUUUCUUUCCAUAUCCAUUAGUUGAAUUGACUUAAGAUGAGAGUAACAAAAAAAAUGGCCUGUGAGGUAGGUAGCUCAUGGCUUAUAUCUGUAAAUAAACUUUCAUUGGAACACUG
Peromyscus californicus insignis is the source of this 4576-nucleotide long non-coding RNA. RefSeq lists it as uncharacterized. NCBI's taxonomy places the organism in Eukaryota, Metazoa, Chordata, Mammalia, Rodentia, Cricetidae. The transcript is spliced from 2 exons. The record is from RefSeq and is a predicted model, not a curated record.